AGCAGCCGCGGUAAUUCCAGCUCCAAUAGCGUAUAUUAAAGUUGUUGCAGUUAAAAAGCUCGUAGUUGAAUUUCGGGAUCAGUAGGUUGGUCGUGCCAAUGGUAUGCACUGGCCUCACUGGUUCCUCCUUCUUGUAGAACCGUAAUGCCAUUAAGUUGGUGUUGCGGGGAAACAGGACUGUUACUUUGAAAAAAUUAGAGUGUUUAAAGCAGGCUAACGCUUGAAUACAUUAGCAUGGAAUAAUGAAAUAGGACGAUCGAUCCUAUUUUGUUGGUUUU
Molecule: ribosomal RNA, 278 nt
Filed under: Glomeromycota sp.
Lineage: Eukaryota; Fungi; Glomeromycota
Description: partial small subunit ribosomal RNA
Rfam family: Eukaryotic small subunit ribosomal RNA
Source: RNAcentral